This 253-nucleotide ribosomal RNA is filed under the name uncultured bacterium. RNAcentral's name for it is "partial 16S ribosomal RNA". It matches the Rfam family "Bacterial small subunit ribosomal RNA", at positions 524 to 776 of the family's 1533-position model. The record is from RNAcentral.
UCCAUAGGUCUCAAGCGUUGUGCGGAUUCAUUGGGGGUAAAGGGUGCGUAGGCGGCGCGGUAAGUCGGGGGUGAAAUCUCGGAGCUUAACUCCGAAACUGCAUUCGAUACUGCCGUGCUUGAGGACUGGAGAGGAGACUGGAAUUUACGGUGUAGCGGUGAAAUGCGUAGAUAUCGUAAGGAAGACCAGUGGCGAAGGCGGGUCUCUGGACAGUUCCUGACGCUGAGGCACGAAGGCCAGGGGAGCAAACGGG